GUUAAGAAUCUUGCGCAAUGGGCGAAAGCCUGACGCAGCGACGCCGCGUGGACGAUGAAGGCCUUCGGGUUGUAAAGUCCAAUAAGCAGGGAAGAAUAAGUCAGGUAUAAUACACCUGAUGAUGACGGUACCUGUCUAAAGCCCCGGCUAACUACGUGCCAGCAGCCGCGGUAAUACGUAUGGGGCGAGCGUUGUUCGGAAUUAUUGGGCGUAAAGGGCGUUUAGGCGGGGAAUUAAGUUAGGUGUGAAAUCCAUGGGCUCAACCCAUGAAUUGCAUUUAAAACUGAUUCUCUUGAGUUCGGGAGAGGAGAGCGGAAUUCCAGGUGUAGCGGUGAAAUGCGUAGAUAUCUGGAAGAACACCAGUGGCGAAGGCGGCUCUGGCCUAGAACUGACGCUGAAGCGCGAAAGCGUGGGGAGCGAACAGGAUUAGAAACCCGAGUAGUCC
Molecule: ribosomal RNA, 445 nt
Filed under: uncultured bacterium
Lineage: Bacteria
Description: partial 16S ribosomal RNA
Rfam family: Bacterial small subunit ribosomal RNA
Source: RNAcentral